UGGGUAACCUGCCUCAAAGAGGGGAAUAGCCUCCCGAAAGGGAGAUUAAUACCGCAUAAUAUGUUUAAGUCGCAUGAUUUUAACAUCAAAGGAUUUUCUUUUAAGAAAUUCCACUUUGAGAUGGACCCGCGGCGCAUUAGCUAGUUGGUGAGGUAACGGCUCACCAAGGCAACGAUGCGUAGCCGACCUGAGAGGGUGAUCGGCCACAUUGGAACUGAGACACGGUCCAGACUCCGUAAGGGAGG
Molecule: ribosomal RNA, 245 nt
Filed under: uncultured bacterium
Lineage: Bacteria
Description: partial 16S ribosomal RNA
Rfam family: Bacterial small subunit ribosomal RNA
Source: RNAcentral